Molecule: transfer-messenger RNA, 357 nt
Filed under: Desulfomonilia
Lineage: Bacteria; Pseudomonadati; Thermodesulfobacteriota
Also listed under: 2 other names
Description: UBA1062 sp001896555 Standard tmRNA
Rfam family: transfer-messenger RNA
About the family: Bacterial tmRNA, also known as 10Sa RNA or SsrA, is named for its dual tRNA and mRNA-like properties. Its role is to liberate the mRNA from a stalled ribosome. To accomplish this part of the tmRNA is used as a reading frame that ends in a translation stop signal.
Source: RNAcentral
GGGGGCGUAAUGGGUUCGACGGGGGUAGUUGAGGUACAAGGAGCAUGCCGAGGUCUGCUCCCUCGUAAAACAGGCAGAAAAAAAAUAAGUGCCGACGAUUAUUCUUACGCACUGGCUGCCUAGAGCAGCCGCGUCCUGCUGAGGCCCGCUCAUCGGCAUCAGUCACGGGCGUCAAACAAAGAUGAGCACACCCGGCAGUUUUCGCCUCUUGGGCUGACGGGUUACACAAAGAGGCCGGGGCAUGGAAAGCCUGUCUGUGGGCCGACCGUGUCUGGGACUCAAAUACACAGACUACGCAUGUAGCCGCCUUGUGCUGAAGGCCUUCGGACGGGGGUUCGAUUCCCCCCGCCUCCACCA